CAGCUUCAUCGUCUUCCAGCGUCGAGUCUCUUCCUCCCCCUCCCCGACACUUCAUCUUCUCCAAACGUAUGCUUUUACCGUUACUUUCUCAAUCAAUGACGCUGUCAAAGCUAUUCUUCAAUGUUGUGGUCCAUCUCUCCUUGAUACUUCUCUUAUAUAAAUCUCUGUCUCAAAACCUAAAGCCACCCUAAAUUAAAAAACCUAAUCUGCAAAAAAUAGUCUCAGCUUAUCACCAGAAAAUCUCCCGUCGCCAUGUGUUUCAACGACAUCUCACCAUGAUGAUCUGAGUCACAGCUUCAAUUCAGGAAACAAAUCUCGAACGCCUAGAUCUGGAAGCCAUGAAGCAUCUGAACCCAAAACUACGACUAAUGUUCACAGGGACGGCAAUGACGGACGAUAGAGAAGAAGGGUAAAAAAUCGUUGAGAUAUUAAAAAAAACAGCCUUUAGAUAGAAUACUCCUAGGAGGGAGACAAAAAUGAGAGGACUAAAUCAUCUUCAGAUGCUCGAACCAGUGCUCGUGCUUGAAUCGACCAUCCUUGCUUCCGCCUUCCGGUUGGUUUAAAGAAAGGUGCAGCCAAGUGUGUAAGAAAUCUAAGGUGUCUAAUGCUAACUUCCACUGGACACAACUUCAAUGGAUGGAAACCAUACCUAUGGUCUGAAUUAUUAACCCUUGAGUUGCUUAGCAAGUGAUGCUUAGUACUGAACCAACAACUAAGCUCACAUUUGCAGUCUCAGUGUUUAUGAUUUUCGCUCCUGGUUUGUAGAGACAGAGGGUAAAAGCUAUGAUCGGGUCAGUCGGACAGAGAUCGCGAUGUUGGGAGCAAUCGUUUGUGUAGGAGAACCAAAGGCUUCCGAGCUCCAGAGGAUUCCUUCUGACGUGUGGUCAGCAGGAGUAAGAUUAACUUUGUCUCAUUGAUUUGUUAGGAUUGCAUAGCCUGGUUUGUUAAUCCUCUCUCUUUUAUACCAAAUUAGUUUCUGCUCUAUUGAACAUAAUUGCAUUUCCAUUUUCUCUUCCUGGACAUUGAGAGAUCAUGAAGAAUUCGAGGUCAAGAUCAAUGGUUUAGUUGUAACUGCACCAGUUCCUGAAGAAGUCUAGAAUAUCCACUACGGUACUCUUUGGCCCGGUAAAAAUGUGCCAUGAUCAAGGUCUUCCUUGGAAACAAAGGUCUUAACGAUGUAGAAAACUACGAGCUCCCUAGGCUGGUUUAUGUUCUCGUGAGGAGGGAGCCCAGAUCCGACCAUCUUAAGAAGGUUGAAGAAAUAACUUUAUUGGUAAACGAUUAAGCUUAAUCUUUGAUUGUAUUAUUUAAACUGAAAUAUAAUGUUCUCUCGCAAACUUAACUGUGAUUACUACAUCAACAAUAGCAAAGCUCACAGAAGCAAUGUGUUUCCCAAAGGAUCCUUAGUCGGGAAAAAGCUUUGUUAUGUCAAUUCCCUGAACAAGCACUAUUAUUAGCAGCACUUGAAAGUUGACCAUCAUGACUAUUUUUUGAUCCCCCACCCACAACAAAGAGACUUCUUACGAGUUUUCCAAGGAGCUAGAAAACAGAGAAUGUGAGUUUUGGAAUCCGGGACAUACGGAUUUGCAACACUUGAAGUAGUGUUCUUGAACAAUGUCCUAAACUAGAAAGUGCAAACACUGAACGGCUCAAGGAACCAUGGACACUCUCGAUUUUGAAUCUGGCAUUUCAUUAAAUGAUAUCCAAUAUGCAGCAGAGAAUCCAAGCGGAAUAAAGGUUGAAUAUUAAACUGGUAACAAGGCGGGACUUAAUGUUUCGUUGAUUGGAAUGUGAACAAUGAUUUUGUAUCAACCUUUCCUUAUAGGGGACUCACAUUGAGUUUUGUUUUUGUUCAAUGUGGCAAAAGUUAGUGAGAUGUAUAUACAUGUUUCAAACAAGUUCGUGACUGAUUACGUUGCUGACAUGUGAGCAAUCUAUGAUUAUUGGUUUGUC
Molecule: long non-coding RNA, 1953 nt
Organism: Raphanus sativus (radish)
Lineage: Eukaryota; Viridiplantae; Streptophyta; Magnoliopsida; Brassicales; Brassicaceae
Exons: 8
Source: RefSeq, a predicted model, not a curated record